AUUGAAGAAUAAUGGUUAGUUUUUGAAUACUAAGAAGUGAAUCUUUGGAAUAAAUCAGAGAUUGAUUUAUGAAUUAUUGAUUAUAAAAUUGGAGUAUUAAGUGAUUGAAUUAUAUGAGAAGUUAUUUGAAGAUUGAUUAUAGAUGGAAGAUUAUGAUUGGGAUUUAUUGAAAGUUGUGUGUGUGUGUUUUGACAGAGGAAGUCUAUAAUUACAAGAAUUUUGUGAAUUCAGAUUGGUUGGAAAGAAGUCUGUUAUUCCUGGUGUUAGAUGGAAUUUAUUGAAUUUUGAACGGUCUUUUGAGAGUAAAGGAUUGCACAUUGUGGUUAUUAGUUGAUGAAGGAGUAUUGUUACUGGGAAGAAGUAUUGUAGUAUUUCUCAGUGUUUUAGUGGUUCAAAAUACAAUUAAUUGUGUGAUCCGAACAACUGAAACUCAUGCGCUUAGUCUUUCCCUAUGUUUGAAUUCUCCUAUAUAAGUUUAUUCUGGAAAGAAUUAUAGAAUAAGUAAAAUGAUAAUUAUUUUGUAUUUAUAAGAUUCUUUACUGGCUCCCAUGUAUGUUCACUAAUAUCUUAUUUGUGCCAAUGGACAAGAUAUUCCAAUUUAUUUCAGCACCGCCUUA
RNAcentral lists this long non-coding RNA (617 nucleotides) under Physcomitrium patens. RNAcentral's name for it is "long non-coding RNA (PPAT_LNC005108)". The record is from RNAcentral. Lineage: Eukaryota; Viridiplantae; Streptophyta; Bryopsida; Funariales; Funariaceae.